Long non-coding RNA from Mustela lutreola (European mink), 1282 nucleotides. RefSeq lists it as uncharacterized. The record is from RefSeq and is a predicted model, not a curated record. The transcript has 2 exons. NCBI's taxonomy places the organism in Eukaryota, Metazoa, Chordata, Mammalia, Carnivora, Mustelidae.
GGUGGUGACGUGGGCGGGGGUGAAAUGCAACCUUUCUCUUCCUGACUGCCUGUCCUCCAAUUCCCCGUUUUCCUCCGACUUUCAGAAGUGGUGAGGUCAUCCCGGCGCAGGAAAAUCAAACUCCUAUUUUUCAGACCCAAUAAAGGCCGGCAUUGUGUGUCUGCGUAAACAGAGGCCAGACGGACAGGGCGGCGGGGGACGCGAGUGGCCCGCCCCCUGGCGGUCGCCGGGGGCAGUGGCGGCCCGAGCUCCACCUCCCGGAACCGCGGCGGAGAGGCGGAGAGGGUGCGUGCUAAAAUGACGCGCAGAUCCAUUACUGCGCGCGGCGGGGGAGCGGAUGCUGCCGGGAGCGGCCGCCGGCCACAUCUCAGUCCCGCGGGCUGGCCGCGGCGUCAUCCAGCCUGCGAUCCGCACGAGGUGGGGAGUGGGAGGACACCUCCCGACCCGGGGCUCCCCCCGCCCCUCCGCUCUCUCCAGAACUCCUUCUCCGGCCUGCCCCCCAAAGGCUCGCUCCCGCCGGGUCUUUACCUCUAUGGGCUCCUUGGUGUUUAAACACAGGCGGCCCCAAACGCAAACAAUCAUCAGGGGCUCUCCUGUCGACGCAGAGCGCACACCGGCCGCUUACACCUUACAGCCUUAGAGGGCUUGACGGGCCCCUUGAAAAAGGUUUCCAGCCCCGCUGCCUAGAGGGCCUGCAUUACUCAGUCCUUGCUCAGGCAAUUGUUGCUGUAAAUAGCUGCGACCUCCCUCCACCCCGCUGCGAGCACGGAUGGGAAUGGAUUUACCGCGAUCUGUCUGAUCACGUUGUAUUUAAGGCCUCGGUGAGAGGGGACCGUGUUCCAUGCAGCCCCCGACGUGCUGGGACAACAGGGCAUUCCCAGGCCCGUUUGCCCCAGUGGGUGGAAGUCGUCUGCCAUGUAUGAAGAAAUGUCCACAGUGGUAUUUCUGUUGAAGUUGCUAAAUGAUUUUCAUUUCUCAAAAGAUGCUCCAGAAAAAAAAAAAAAAAAAAGCAUAAUCUGAUACUGCACCGCCGCCUCAGAAACACAAGAUCAAAUCAUAGUUCUGGGGGAAAACGUAGGCAUUCUAGUCUUAGAAAUGUGUAUAGCAAAUGUUAUAUACGUAUUUAUAUCGUUUUUCUUAAUUUUUGCUUUUCUAUUUUUUACCAUUUCUUUAAAAAGCACGUACUAUAGAGAGCCAAAGAAUUUUAAUAGUAGCUUAAAUGUACAUUAGGUGUAUUUAUAGAAUUAAUGUAUUGUUUGACAUAAAAGGAUUUUGAACUAAA